This is a regulatory RNA element of Bacillus gobiensis, 136 nucleotides long. It matches the Rfam family "Ribosomal protein L20 leader". From Rfam's summary of the family: This family is a putative r-protein leader autoregulatory structure found in B. subtilis and other low-GC Gram-positive bacteria. It is located in the 5' untranslated regions of mRNAs encoding initiation factor 3 followed by ribosomal proteins L35 and L20 (infC-rpmI-rplT). NCBI's taxonomy places the organism in Bacteria, Bacillati, Bacillota, Bacilli, Caryophanales, Bacillaceae. The record is from Rfam.
CAUCACAAGAAGAAGCACCCGCUUCUCACCUGAUUGACACAUUCUUGUAGUUGGCAGGUUAACCGUACAUUUUUAAUUAUUUCCUUAAAUGUUCGAGUGUGGGUGCCGUCUGUGGUGCCCGCACUUUUUGUUUGCC